This 20520-nucleotide long non-coding RNA is filed under the name Pelobates cultripes (western spadefoot toad). Lineage: Eukaryota; Metazoa; Chordata; Amphibia; Anura; Pelobatidae. The record is from RNAcentral.
CACAGACAAAUAAACACACAUAGAGCUUCACGACCAGCUCAGAGAAAAUAUCAUCCUCUUUUUCCCACCCAUUUUGCUGGGUUUAUAUUCUGAUGACGUUCUCGUCUAGCAGUCAUUGCCGAUUAAAGGGACCUAAGGUGCUAGGAUGCAUUUUAUAGAGCAUCUUGUAAAAAUUCAACUCUUCUAUGUUGCAGCAGUGGUUGUUUGAUGUACGAGGUGGCCACCGAGGAGCAGAAAUCUCUUCUUUUUUCAGGUGAGGAUAACAAGAGUUUUUACGUCCAUGUUAUUUUAGAUGGUCUGUCUGCCUGUCUGUAUUACAUAUGCAGUCGGAAAAACAAAAUGUUCUGUGCAGAACGAGGCACUUAUAUAUAGAAUAAUACGUAAUUAUGUAAGCAGCAACAGUCACUCUCUGACUCCAUACACAAACAUGCUCAAUAUAAAAUAAACUGAGAGGCUAGAACUAUCACCGGUAUAUAUAGUGGAGCACUAUAGAAACACUUACUCUUAUAUAAUAAGGGAUAUAUAUGGCAGUAAAACUAGAUAAAGGAAAAAUUAAUAUAGUGUAGUAUUUUAGUUAGUUAUAGGCAUAGGAAUGGUUUAGGAAUAUAUAUAUACAACAUACUCACAUGGAGCAGAGACAAUCAAAGGGGCACUAUAGUCACCAGAACAACUACAGCUUAAUGUAGUUGUUCUGAUGUGUGUAUAGUAUGUCCCUGUAGGCAUUGUCAUUUAAACACUGCCUUUUCAGUUUUGCCAUGCAUUCGCAAUAGCCUCCCAAUGCUUUCAUAUGGGAAAGCAUUGGAUUGGCUGAGAUAGUUAAUUUCGAUGUUCUCAGCAAUGGAGGUAGGGAGUGGGUGGAGCCCGUGCUGGCGGGCUUGCACUGUGCUGAAAAAAAAAGGUAUGUUUUAACCCUAUUUAAGGAGCUCGGCAGCUAAAAUGUGUUUUUAACACUAUAGGGUCAGGAGAACACAUUUGUAUUCCCGAGCCUAUAGUGUUACUAAGGACAGGCUCAUGUCUCAUAGGCAUGUGUGUACAUUAAAUGUGCGUCUGUUCAGGUGCUUGCUCUGCAAUUCAAGAUCUGACGAAGCUAUACAAAUUUAUAUGGUGGCUUAAGUUUGCUUCUGCAAGUAGCGUCAUUAAUGGUUUCUAUGAAUGAAGCUACUUGUUGCUGUGCCAUUGUUAUUUUACAGCGGCCAUUAAAACCACACUAUGUAUCAUUUAUAUCUAUGAUACUUAGUAAUAUAGAGAAACAGAGAAUGUGACUGUAGAUAAGAGGCCAUCUAGUCUGCCCAAUUUUCUAAAUACUUUCAUUAGUCCCUGGCCUUAUCUUAUAGUUAGGAUAGCCUUAUACCUAUCCCAUGCAUGCUUAAACUCCUUUACUGUGUUAACCUCUACCACUUCAACUGGAAGGCUAUUCCAUGCAUCCACUACUCUCUCAGUAAAGUAAUACUUCCUGAUAUUAUUUUUAAACCUUUGCCCCUCUAAUUUAAGACUAUGUCCUCUUGUUGUGGUAGUUUUUCUUUUUAAAUAUAGUCUCCUACUUUACUGUGUUGAUUCCCUUUAUGUAUUGAAAUGUUUCUAUCAUAUCCCCUGUCUCGUCUUUCCUCCAAGCUAUACAUGUUACAGAGGAUAUAUGGCACUCCAAACAAGUGCAUUUCAUUGUUACCAAUCUUUAUAUUGUGUUUUGUUUUUUUAUGUAUUAAUUUUUUUAAUAUGUUAUGUCCAUGAUGUAUAUAAAAAGUUUCCCUUUAAAAUAUAGCUUAGUAAUGUUCGUCCAAGAUGAACAUGAAAAUAAAAUGUAUUGCAUUGUAGGUAAGUCCAGUGCAGCAAAAAACUGUCAACUUUUUAUGAUGCUAUUAAAAAGUGAAGCCAAGCAGUUUCCCGCGCAUUGAAGACAUGGUGUCAGUAAAUCUCCAAAAAGAUGAUUCAUCCUCAGUGAAGUGAAUAUACCCAGUCAGCAUAGAGACCAUAAACCUCUGAUUCAGGUCUAUAGAGUCUGAUCUGUUAGACAUACUUAACGCAGUUCUGCACCGGUUAAAGUGUAGAGGAGAGAGGUUAUUUAGCAGAACUCAAAGUUGUCAGUGCACAAUCUCAGUUCUGCUUAGAGACGGUGUUUUGGGGACAAAAGAACCUCAGAAACCUAUGAUUCCCUUUGACAAUUCUGUGUUACUGGACACUGCAGGUUAGGAGGGAGGGAUGCAGAUGGACACAUGUGUGCAAGGUCCAUCAAGAAACAGUAUUUUAGAAGGAUUGCUGACAACGUGGUUAGCAAGCUGAAUGCCGCAAAACAUUAUAUUUUGGAAAGCCUACACAAAAUUUGGUGUGCAAAAAUUACAGCUAAUUAAAAAAAAAAAAACUAUAAAAUGCAAAACAUUGGGUUGGUGCUUGGGAGGGUCUUAAAUACACACAUAUAUAUAUAUAUAUAUAUAUAUUUUACUUUCAGAAAUAAGAAAUGAAUGUGGAGCAUUGUUAGUGUGAUAUUAUAAAAUUGUACAGUUCCUUAACCUUUUAAUAUUAUAAAGUGCCUUACUGCUGAGAUUUCUUUCUUUUUUUAUUAUAUGCUGUACAUUUGCAUUUCAUAGUCAAAUGAUUGCACAAAGAGUAUUAUUAUGUUUCAUUUGGAGCGAAGGUCACAGCACACAGAGGGAGUACUCCGUGUCACACAUUGUAUUCCUCGCCUUUGGAAUUCAGCCUAAAUGACCACAACUCACAGCUUUUGUGAUCCAGGUUUAUUAGGCCUGAUUUUAAAGGACCAAUGAAGUCACCAAGACCCCUUCAUUGAAGUAGUCUGGGUGCAGGAGUCCUGUAUGUUUAAUCCUUCAAAGUAAAAUAUUGCCAUUGUGCAGGGAGGGCAAUAUUUACCUUGAAGGGUUAAACACACCACUUGUGUCAUACUUUUAGCCACUUGGGUCACUUUUACAGCGCUGACUGAAUAAUAAUAAUAAUAAUAAUUAAGUUGGCGACAUGACGUUGCAGGUCUCAGUUUAAUAUUUUGGAUAAGCCUUUCAGAUGAUUUAAUAUUUUUCGAUUAACUUUAAAAAUGCUGUGUGUGCUGUUUCAUUCAUAUAAAGCACAAUUCACACAUGCAUAGUACAGCCAAAAGAAAAAAAGAUAUCCAGGACAAAAUGUCCAGGAUACACAGGUAGGAUAUAUCAGAGUGGACUGUUUGUAAUAAAAACCAUACAUUUAUUAAUCAUCAUAAACAUAAACAAAAAAUAAAUAAAAAAACACACACACAUAACCCCAUAAAGAGGAAAAAAUAAAGCUCAAAGGGCUAGGAAGGGAAAACCAAAUAGAGGGGCAAUACCAGAGGUUAAUUACUCCUAUAUGGCAUAUGUACCACAUAAGAAAGAUAUCUAUAAAGCCUAUAAUAUCUACUAAGUGGAUCUCCCUAAUGUACAAUCCAUCAGUGGUAGAGUCCUAAAAGGAAUAAUAUAUAGACUAUAAAGGCAUAGGCUAGAUCUAUAAAUCCUCUGGUCCCAAAUGUUGCAAAACUCAAGGAUUAGCAGAACUAUUGGUAAACAGUGAUAAACACAGAUAAACAGCUAUUAGGAAAAAAUUCCCCCUGCACUGUUGCACAUAUUAGCCAAAAACUAUCCACUGCUAAUCCUAUAUGUAAAGCUAUAAGGUCAUAGAGAAGGUUAAGUCCCUUACUAAGCUGUGUUUAAUAACGGCUUAAGUUCCCCAUAAAAUAAACAAAUAAAUAAACACCCCAAGAAAGUGCUGAAAAUAAAGGUGAUGUGAAUUUAAAAAAUCAUCAUAAUGAGCCUAACGCGUUUCGGCGCUUAAACGAGCGCCUUUCUCAAAGGCUAUCAAUGAGGAGACUGACCUCAGUGUGUCUUUAUACCUAGAACAUUGUAAUGGAGAGCCAAUCCGCUGGGCAGUAGGCGGCGUUUCUUUUUCACGCCCCCCAGAUCGGAGUGGAUAAUACCUUCUAUCAAUCAUCCGAUAAUAGACCAAUCGGGUUAAAAUGGACGGGGCUUAAUGCCGAUAACGCAAAUCAAGUGUUUAUUAUGUUGCCAUAGACACCCUCUCACAUCAUACAUACAUAGGGUCAUGUCAUAGGCAACAGAGCCUAAUAGCUCAAAUAACACUGACCAUAGCAAACAUAUUGAUGUAAUAGGCACAAUGUCUCCAUUAACACAAAACAACUUUUGAUAGAGACAUAAAGAUAAAACGUAUUUUUUCUUUACAUUCCCCCAGUGUUGGAUAAUAUAUGGUACUAUGUAUUGUAAUAAAGUUCAACAGCCUUAUAAGUUACAGUGAACCAUAAAUAACCACCGACAGGAGUGAAUAUAACAUGUCUUAACUAAAUUAAAGAAUGCCAAGUACAGUGUCUUGAGGCAGGUAAGUUUAAAAACACAGUAUUAACUUGCUAUAUCAUCUUGUAUAUAGAUAGAUAGAAGGGGAUAAGGAGAUAAUAGAAUUUAUAUACAGCAAUAUCGAACGUCAUCUCUUAGAUUAAUCAGACUAACGUGGACUAUGGGUAUAUAGACUGGCCCAGUAAUACAAUGUGACGGAAUAUUAUCCUCAGUGGUCCAUGGUUAUGAUGUAAUUACUAGAACGGUAUGAAUAGUAACACUUAAACUAAUAUAUACUCAUUGAGAUAUGGGCAAAGAUUCAAUAAAGGGGGUAAACGUGAAGCCUUCAUUGAGGCCGUUUGGAGACAAAGUGUCCAGCUUGUGAAUCCAGAAGCAUUCUCUUCUUUUCAGGAUCAAAUCCAGAUCGCCUCCCCUUUUACCCAUCUGUACCUUUUCAACACCGACAAAUUUAAAGCAUCUAGGUGAGUCGCUAUGAUGUAAUCUAGCGUGUCUAGCAACAGGGGUGUCUCUUUCAGAUGUAACUGAAUGGAUAUGUUCCAUCAUGCGUCUUUUUUUCCGCAUUUACAAGUGAGAAGGUAGACAACCCCUGUAGAAUUACAGUUAAAAAACUGCUUGAUUGGGAUCCUCAACGUACCAGAGGAGUCUGUUAUAAACUUAGAAUCUCUAUCUAUGUAGCGACAGGCUACAUACACCGCCCACACUGAUAGGUACCUUGCACAUUAAUCCAACUCUUUUUAUUCGUAUUAGGUUUAGAAAAAUGGCUUGGCACCAGAAGAUCCUUUAGUGCCACAGGCACUUGUAAACGGCUUUUUUAUUUAGUUAAAGGAACACUAUAGGGUCAGAAACACUAACAUAUAUUCCUGACCCUGUAGUGUUAAAAUCACCAUCAAGCACCCUGGCCUCCACUUGCCGCUCUAAAUAGAGUAAAAGCUUACUUUUAUUCAAGUCUGCAGCUGCUGCCUCUGCCUCUGAAUUUGUGCGACAGUAGCGUUCAUCAUCAACGCACAGAACUUGCUUGAGAGCAAAGCAUAGCUUUUGCACUUGUAGGUGCUCUACUAUGCGUGCACUUUGCUGCCCGUGCUGUGUGCAAAGGGGAUGGGGGAUUCAGUUUAAUUGCAAAUUUCAGAUCUACGGCUAAUGCAAAGUAAGAAUUUUACUUUAGAAGAAUUUUUAGAUGCAUUAUAUAUGCAUUCGCAUUUCUAAACAUAGAAUGUUCCUUCAAAACACUUAUCCAAAGACAAAAGAUUACCCAUGGUACCCCAAAGAGUGAUCCCUGUGAUCUGUGAGCCUGCCGUGACGAGGAGUCCGUACUUGAUGGCCAGGAAAAAAAAGCCUGGAUAAUUCCAGGAAAGUCCUUAUAAAGAUGUGACAUUUAUACUAUCGUAUGAGCUGUGACGUGUAGGAGUUACUUUAUUUGUAUAUGAAAUAUGUGGCAGAUGGAGGAAAGCCAUAGUUCAUGAAAAGAAUAUAGAGAACCUUUUAGGGUGUAUUUAAUAACGAGGACAGAAUAGUGGAAGACUUUGCACUAUAUGGGCUUUGCAGAUUGGACCAAUAAAAAAGGAAAGAUGUGGGUAAAAAAGAUCUGAUGAUUUUCCCUAUAUAUUUUUUAUUUUUGACAUCUGGAUGAUAUUUUUUAUUAUUUUAUUAUUUUUGUCAUGCAUAGAAAGGUAACAGCAUUCGCGAGGUACCCCAACGGCAUUCCUCGCAUUAAUUUUCAAUAAUAGUAACAGUGGAGUUAUCGAUAUUGCAUGCACAUUUUCUUUUGUUGUCGAUUGCACAGGCUAAACAUUUCGUAACUGAAUAAGCAAAUGGCUGCGAGUUACUAUGCUAAGACAUGAGUGCUGCAGUAUUACAUGAACAAGUAAUACAAUGUAUUUGGAAUAGCUUGCAGGUAGAACUAUGAAAAUAGGUAUAUUAUAUGUGUAACUAUAUUUGUUCUAGAUUACUUAAAGAGUUGGCUUAUAAUUCCCUCAUAUUCCCUAUGCAGAUAAUUGCCCUACGGUGCUUAUAAAACUACUUAGCUGGGAGUGCACUGAGAAAAUGAUAAGCUGUGAGUUCGGAAAGCUUGUUCAGGCGAGUGUCUAAGGGUUCGUAGGUGUUGCGUUGGGACUCAAGUGCCGCAUAGCCCUUGGUGAGCUGCGUGUCCGCCAUUUUAAGAUAUCUGGCGGCCUGCCGGUUUGGUACAUAGUUUAGGCUGUCGCCGUCGCUUGUUGUCCAUGUAGACUCAUGGGUUACGAUGAUUGGGACCGGGAUAACCCCCGCUGGUCCUAAGGGGGAGGGGAAGCCCAAUACUUCGGGUGCCACAUGCUUUGAGGAGCUGGGAGAGCGGCCGCCUCUACCCUGCUCUGCAUGGUGUAGGCCCCAAGCAUCCGAUCCGAUGACCCAGCGGGCAUUCCGGGUGUGUGAGGUGUCUUUCUGUUCCCCAGCUUUUGUGUCGCAGGGUGAGGUGAGUUGGGAUUCAGGAUCAGGUGGUUUUCCUAAGUUUUUUCGCUUAAAAUCGGGUCCAGGCUCGGGAGCUCACAGAUCGUGUGUCUGUUCAGCUCCCCGGUAAGGCUCCGCCCCCCCUUCCCUAUAUUUUUAGUAUAAAAAAAACCCUUUUCAAUAAACACGUAUUAUCCCCCCACAUCCCGAUAGUUCUAACUGUACACAGUGAGAAAGGCAUACUAUUUUAUCUCAAGAUUUUUAAUAUGCGUGAAAGUUGUCCAGGUGCCUGAAGUGACCCUUUAAUUCCCUUCUCUCAAUCUGUGUAUUUUACUUAAUUGCUUUGUGAAAGGCUAAUAUUUUUAUUUUUUUGUAAUUCUUUGUUUUAUUGAGGAUGAAGCAGGUUAUUACAGGGUUUGCAUUGAAUGUUUAAAUGUUACCAUAGGUGCUAUAACAGGUAUGACACAUGACAUUCAUAUACAUCUGUCCUCUUUUUUUUUUUUAAUUAAGACAUGUUUGGGUCAACUAGGGAGGAGUAUAACAUGUGUUGGGGGUCCAGCUGCGCUCCUGUGUCAGGGUGUGUACGUUGUGUUUGUUGCUUGUUUGUUGUGGCAGUCUCCCAGGCAUAGUGUGCGUUUAGUUUUAGGGUUGUGAUUGUGUCCCAUGGUAUAAUCUCCUGGGGAGGUCGACCUAGAGGUGGGUAGGCCAGUAUUGGUGUCUGGUUGCCCUGUCUGUGAGUGCUCUGGUGUCUGUGGUUGGACCCGUGUUGUGAGGUUCGUCCUCUCGGUUCAGGCGGUGUGAGUGUCGGUGAGUCAUAUUGGGUACUGUAUUGUUGGGCCAUGUAUGUGUGCUGUCGCUCAGAGUGUAGGGGUGCCAAUGACGACACUCAGUGUGACAUGGGUGUGUGUGGCUAGUGGUCAUAGGAUGUCGUCCCCUAACCUAGGGGGACACCGGGGGAGGGAGGGUGAGGGUACUAUGGGUUGUGAGAGUCUGUCUCUCGGCCUCAGCAGGUGAUAGAGCCUGCAUUAGGUGUUGAGGAGCCCGUUAGGGUGGCUAAAAAGUUCGGUCUGGUAAGGUCCGAUAUCCGUCAUGUAGUUGCAGCAUUGGGGGGAACUAGUGUGGGGUUCACUAUAAACUUGGGUAAAACAUAGUGGAACAAAACAUAAUUCUUGUGUGAGAGCUGGUCAUCUCAAGUUGGUGCCCCUCUAUCUUCCCGUCUUCUGGGGGUGAAUGGCGUUAUUCUGUCCGGAUCCCAAGUGUGUGGGGUGGAAGGGUUCUCCGCGUUCGCGGGUCUCGUGUGUAGCCCAAUGGCUUGCAAAAAUGAGUCCGACUCGUUAAGUGAGGAGAGUCUAUGGGUGGUGCCCCCCUUGGUUACUAUCAGGGCUCUUGGUAGUGUCCAUCUAUAUUCGAUGUCUGCUUCUUGUAGUCUCCUUGUCACUGGGCCUAGGGACCGGCGCCAUAGGAGUGUGUUCCGCGUGAGAUCUUGGUAGAAUGAGAGGUAUGAGUCCUCAAAGGGGAGCGGGGUCUUCCCCCUUACCGCAGCCAUAAGUCGGGCUUUAUCGGUCAGAGAUUGACAGCGGAUGAUGACGUCCUGGGAGGCCGUUUGCGGGGCCUGUCUGGGUUUCUUGAUUCGGAAGAAUCCGUCAAGUGCUACCUUUUUUGCCUGAGCGGGUGGUAAGAGCGUGCUGAAGAGGCGCCUAAGGUAAUGGGCCAGUUCAGUCGCGUCGACUGAGUCAGGGAUCCCCCUGAUUUUGAUAUUGGCGCGCCUGUGGCGGUCUUCUGCCUGAUCUACUCUGGUGGUUAUGGUAGUUUGGGAGGUUUGUAGGUGUUGGACCAUUUCUUUUAGGCUUUGUACCUCUUUCCGGAGAUCUUGUAUAUCUUCCUCUGAGGCCUGUGUGCGUGCGGUCACCGCUUGUACCUCUGUUUUGAUCAGGUCCAUAUCUGCAGCGUGCAUCUGCCGCAUUUCUUGGAGCAAGUCUGCAAUAUCUUGCUUAGUGGCUGGGUUUAGGUUUUCCCUCCUCUCUACUGUGGGGUAGUGUGGCUGUUGGGGUUCUGUCAUCUCUUCGGACCGCUCCUCUGGGUCUUCCAGGUUGCUGACACCAUCAGGUGGGUUCGCCAUUUUGGAGGCCGUUGGGCGCUGCAGCAUGGUGCUGAUAUCUAGGGAGUCCCUGUUAGCUCCCUGUGGGGGUUUCUGUGUCCUUCAGGCCCAUGUUGCUUGAUUCCCGGUGAGGGGUUUCCCCGUGGGUCAGCAGCGGGCUGGAUAAGGCAGCCGUCAGUGCCAGUAGGUCUGGUGCAGGCCUUGCCGUGCGGUAUUCCUGGUAGGCCCCCGAUCUCCGCCGGGUUUUUCUGCCCGUUUGCGGGAACAGAAAGGGCAUCUGUGUCCGGCUCACCUCCCUGGGGUGUGAAGGGUAGGUGUUGUCGGCGGGUAGGGUUCCGUGGGGCUGUGGGUGGUAGCGGGUAGUAUCCUCAGCCACGGGAGCACAUGAGAGUUGCUGCCAUUCAGUACGGACGCUUGGCUCCGCCCCCGUGAAAGGCUAAUAUAACAUCAGAAGGGAAUUGUGUAUUUAGCAAGAUUCAUAUGCGUACGUGGGCCUACAUAGAGGUUAGAGAAAGGGAACACACUAAGCACCUGUUCUGCGAUGAAGUGGCUAUGGUGCCAGGAGUGCCCUGGCAUCCCUAUUGUGUUAAUAGUCAUAGUAAGUACGCAGUCAGUUUACCUGGGAUCCAAUGGGCACUGCAACCUGACUUCUCUCUGCAGCCAGGAGAGCUGUAAGCUUGUUCAGUGCAGGGCUAGUUCAUUGGCUGAGAGAGUCAGCUGAUCACUGCAUCAUAAUCCUGCCUCUUUAGCUGUGUCUCCUAUUCCAGAAAUAGACUUCCUGUACAGUGUACAUACAUAGCUCAGCCCUAGAUAUCACUGAGUGAGCUCUAAGCCAGCUUGCAUUAGAAGGUGAGGACACCCUCAUUGUAAGGAUAGACUCAUAGUAAGGAUAUCACUACCACCAGAGAAACAACAGACCAAGUUGGGUGUCCUCUUUUAAUGCAGGCUUUUUGCUUCUAGUUUACUCAGUGCUACGAGUAGCUGAGCUGCUUACCUGAAUUAAUAAGGACGUAUUUUUAUGGAAUGAUGGUGCUUGACUAUCUCCCGAAAGCUUGUCAUUAAAAAAUUCUAUUAGUCCAAUAAAAAAGGUAUUACAAGAUACAAAUUAUAUCUGUUUUUUACAUCUACAUCACUGGACUAAUACUGCUACAAUCUCUACUUGGACAUAAAAAGAUAUAGACAUAUAAUUAUGUAGUCUGUUAAAGGGACACUAUAGUCACCAGAACAACUACAGCUUAUUGCAUUUGUUCUGGUGAGUAGAAUCAUUACCUCAGGCUUUUUGCUGUAAACACUGUCUUUUCAGAGAAAAUGCAUUGUUUACAUUACAGCCUAGUGAUAACUUCACUGGCCACUCCUCAGAUCCUUCCUGGGUCAUGGCUGCCUAAAAUGCAUCCAAACAUUCAGUAUUUCCUCCCUCUGCAUGCAGACACUGAACUUUUCUCAUAUAGAUUCAUUGAUUCAAUUAAUUUCUAUGAGGAGAUGCUGAUUGGCCAGGGCUGUGUUUGAAUUGUGCUGGCUCUGCCUCUGAUCUGCCUCCUUGUCAGUCUCAGCCAAUCCUAUGGGGAAGCACUGUGAUUGUACACAGUGAGAAAGGCAUGCUAUUUUAUCUCAAAAUUUUUAAUAUGCGUGAAAGUUGUCCAGGUGCCUGAAGUGACCCUUUAAUUCCCUUCUCUCGAUCUGUGUAUUUUACCUAAUUGCUUUGUGAAAGGCUAAUAUAACAUCACAAGGGAAUUGUGUAUUUAGCGAGAUUCAUAUGCGUACGUGGGCCUACAUAGAGGUUAGAGAAAGGGAACACACUAAGCACCUGUUCUGCGAUGAAGUGGCUAUGGUGCCAGGAUUGCCAUGGCAUUCCUAUUGUGUUAGUAGUCAGAGUAAGUGCCCAGACAGUUUACUUGGGAUCCAAUGGGCACCGCAACCUGACUUCUCUCUGCAGCCAGGAGAGCUGUAAGCUUGUUCAGUGCAGGGCUAGUUCAUUGGCUGAGAGAGUCAGCUGAUCACUGCACCAUAAUCCUGCAGUGAUGAUGUCAGAGGAAGUUCCCAGGCAGAGGCAGCAGCUUUAGACUUGAAUAGGAGUAAGAUUUUACUAUCUUUAGGGAGGCAAAUGCUCCUAGAUAUUGGUUUUAACACUAUAGGGUCAGGAAUACAUGUUUGUGUUCCUGACCCUAUAGUGCUCCUUUAACCUCUUAAAGGACCACUCUAGGCACCCAGACCACUUCAGCUUAAUGAAGUGGUCUGGGUGCCAGGUCCUUCUAGGGUUAACCCAUUUUUUUAUAAACAUAGCAGUUUCAGAGAAACUGCUAUGUUUAUUAAUGGGUUAAGCCUUCCCCCUAAUCCUCUAGUGGCUGUCUCAUUGACAGCCAUUAGAGGCGCUUGCGUGCUUCUCACUGUGAUUUUCACAGUGAGAGCACGCAAGCGUCCAUAGGAAAGCAUUGUAAAUGCUUUCCUAUGCGACGGGCUGAAUGCGCGCGCAGCUCUUGCCGCGCGUGCGCAUUCAGCCCAGGAGGAGGAUCGGAGGCAGAUAGCUCUCCGCCCAGCGCUGGAAAAAGGUAAGUUUUUAACCCUUUCCCCUUUCCAGAGCCGGGCGGGAGGGGGACCCUGAGGGUGGGGGCACCCUCAGGGCACUAUAGUGCCAGGAAAACGAGUAUGUUUUCCUGGCACUAUAGUGGUCCUUUAAGGACUGAGGUAAUUGUCCAAAUUCUGAACCAAAACAAAACCUAGAACUUGCGCUUUGUGUUUGUUUCCCAGUAAUUUAAGGGUGCUGUCAUAUAUAUAUACAUAUUUAAAGAAAAUGAAGGACUUUCAUUUAAUAUCCUAUAUGUAUACCUAAUUCAACCCUACACGUGACUAAAAUGUUAAAAAUGGGAAAAUGUGGCAAAAAAAAUAAUUAUUUCACAUGUUUACCCAUAAUAUUUUUUACACAUUCAGUGCAACUAAAUAAAAAUAACUCAGAAUAGAUUCAUGUAUCAGUCCUGAUUGUGUAAUGUCUAAUAUGUCUAGGAUCUAAAUACAUUUUUGGUAGAUAACGCUAAUCCUAUAUCAACCCUUACACAAAUGCUAUACCAGCCAUGCCGCUUACCCAAUGUUUACGCUAAGUCUAACCAUAGACCUACCCCAAUAUUAACCUUAACCCUUUAUCUCUAGUCACUAUCUGAUUGAAUCUUUGUAGGACUGACAUCCUGCGUCUACACCAGUGAUGGCUAACCUUGACACCAUAAAUUAUUUCUGGACUACAUUUUCCAUGAUGUUCAGCUAGCCUUUAGAGUAUAAAAGCUAGAUGAGCAUCAUGGGAAAUGUAGUCCAGAAACAAGUUAUGAUGUCAAGGUUAGCCAUCACUGGUCUUUCUACACGCUCUGCUGAUUGGUGCAGGGUGGCGAUUGCUGCAAUUGCACACUGCCCUCCACCCCAGUGCUUCGCUAUGGGGAAGCAUUGGAAGGACUGAGAUCAUCUGUAAUUAAUUUCUCAGUCAGGGGGAGCGGAAGCAGGAGCUGGACUGGCACUCUGUGGGACUUAAGGUGAGCUAAACUAUUUAUCUUGUUAAGGGGUACCCACAAAUCUAAAUAUAGAGGAAAACACUCAGGCAUUCGGAAUACAUGUUUAUAUUCCUAAUGUUCAAGUGCUGUUUUAAUUGCAUGCCCCUCUGACUUGUUUUAUAAAUAGGAAAUUUCAAGUAAUACCCAAGCAGACUGCUGGGAUGGUCUUCGGUCUCACUCACUUUAAAAUGUCGUUUAUAGUGGCGUGCCUCUCACAGAGUUUGCUGUGCAUGCGCAAUUUUCCAAUGCAUCUCUAUGAGAAGCAUUUGAUUGCAACAGUAUUGAUGACUUUACGGAAGGUAUAUCUAGAAACUUUAAGGAACACUCCAAUUAAAAAUAUAUAUAUCAUUAUAUUUUUUUAAAGUGCACCUUUAAAUUGUCUCUAUCACUUUUGAGUUUUGUCUAUAUUUUGUUUAAAGGAACACUCAAGUCUCCUAAAUUACUUUAGCUAAAUAAAGCAGUUUUAGUGCAUAGAUCAUUCCCCUGCAAUUUCACUGCUCAAUUCACUGUCAUUUAGGAGUUAAAUCACUUUGUUUCUGUUUAUGCAGCCCUAGCCACACCUCCCCUGGCUAUGAUUGACAGAGCCUGCAUGAAAAAAAAACUGGUUUCACUUUCAAACAGAUGUAAUUUACCUUAAAUAAUUGUAUCUCAAUCUCUAAAUUGAACUUUAAUCAUAUACAGGAGGCUCCUGCAGGGUCUAGCAAGCUGUUAACAUAGCAGGGGAUAAGAAAAUCUUAAUUAAACAGAACUUCUCUUUACAGGAAGUGUUUAUGCAAGGCUGUGCAAGUCACAUGCAGGGAGGUGUGACUAGGGUUCAUAAACAAAGUGAUAUAACUCAUAAAUGGCAGAGGAUUGAGCAUUGAGGCUGCAGGGGCAUAUUCUAUACACCAAAACUGCUUCAUUAAGCUAAAGUUGUACAGGUGACUAUAGUGUCCCUUUAAUGUAAAUACUGCCUUUUCAGAGAGAAAGCAAUGUGUACAUUACUGCCUAGUAACACCUCUACUGGCAGUCACUCAGACGGCCACUAGAGGAGCUUCCUGUGUGUCCAACACUGAAGUUUUAGCGCCUUCACACUCUGCUUGGAGGUGCUGAACUUUCCCAUUAGAGAUGCAUUGAUUCAAUGCAUGUCUAUGAGGAGGUGCUGAUUGAUGCACAGCGGUGUUUUGCCGCGUAUGCACAAUAGCCUCCUAUGGGAAAGCAUUGGAUUGGCUGAGAUAAUCAAGUUUGAUGAUUCUCAGCCAAGGGGCGGGGCCAGUCAUGAUUGGAACCUAUGCGGCCCUGAAAGUAUGGUGAGUAAAUCGCCUUUUUAACCAGAGGUAAACAGCUAUUUAGACCCAUAGUGUCAGGUAUAUACAUUUGUAUUCCUGACAAUAUAAGAAAUACCCGUAUUUAAACUUCUCCGGGGGAAAUGCACACUGAGCGAGCACAUUUGGAGAGUCUAUGCAAAAUAUGCAGAAAUCCAGAAAGCUACAGAUCCACUUAAUAUUCUGCAUGACAUCUUUGAAAUUUGCAUAAAUAGUUCUGACUGAUUUAUGUCACUGUAAAAAUGUAAUGAUUUUUCAAAAACAUUUUUAUUUGACCUCCUUGGGCGUGUAAGGGAUGACAGAGAGUAUUUAAAAUGUGUUUUGUGUUUCCUCCUCCUUGUAAGUAAAGCCUAACUUGUAAUGUAUUUCCUGUUGUUUGUCUUAUUUGUCCCUCUGGGUUUUUCUGGAGCGUUUUAUUUUUAUAUAUUUUUUUAUGACUUUGUUGGACAGCUUGUUGUGACAUGUUUUCACACUUACUUGGUUUUGACACUAACGUCUUAUUUUGAAGGAAUUUGCUACAGGUGUAGCCUGUUUUACGGUGGAGAUAAGGUGCUGUCUAGAGAAGGGGGGCUGUUCGUGUUUGUUAGUUGAGUAUAGAUGACCUUGAUGAAGCCAUGUUCAGUGAGUGAGAUGGUUGUGUCUGAAAGAACCAGUCUGUUUGUGAUGUGAAUCUGUUGAGUGUGCAUGGAAAGGUUUCAAACUUGGUGCUUGCUGCUCUAACAUAUUAAGAUAACAGAAUGUUCCAAGAGAGGCGCUAGUUGAAGGUACAGUAUAUUUUGGUAUUCUACAUAAUUCUAAUAAUAUUCACAUAUUCCAAGACCGCAGCAAAGCCCAUAGCUAUCUGUACAUUUGUUUUUUUAGAAAGAAAAAUGUUUUGUUCAGACAAAAAAAAAAAGUUUUGUUUUAAAGGAUUAAUAAAGCCACCUAAGCCAACUUAUCUUAAUGUAGUGGCCCUAAUCCUGUGGUCCUGUAGGUUGAAACUUGNNNNNNNNNNNNNNNNNNNNNNNNNNNNNNNNNNNNNNNNNNNNNNNNNNNNNNNNNNNNNNNNNNNNNNNNNNNNNNNNNNNNNNNNNNNNNNNNNNNNCUGUGUAAAAACACUGCAGCUUUUUAGAAACUGCAGUGUUAACAUUGCAGAGUUAAAUCCUCUUGCUUUCUUUUGCAGUAACUGAGUAAAACUCGGUCACGUUACUGUAGCUUCCAUAGGAAAGCAUUGAUUGAAUAUAUAUAUAUAUACCGGUAUAUAAAUAUGAUAUUUGAUGUGCGUGUCGCACUCACCGUAUGAGGAGCAAUGAAAGGGACUGACUCUGGAGAACUUGGAUCAAUGGAAUUAAUUUAUCAAACAUUUAAAUGCUGCAUGAACAUUCAGCCUCAUGCUAUAUAACUGGUCAUUACUUGAUGCUGAAUAACAAUUUGGACUGUAAUGUAUCUCGAAUAGAAAGUUAUCAGAUUUAAAUAAAAAGAAAAUUAUCCAUAUUUAUUACAAUUUCUAUCUUCCCCAAUUGCUGUUAUUUUUGCAAUAUUGGCACCAGCCAGACAGUCAGAAACACCAUCUGUGCAAGUUAUAUAUCGGCCAGGCAGCACUCCUACUUUAAAGGGACACUAAAGUCACAAGAACAACUACAGCUUAUUGUAUUUGUUCUGGUGAGUAUAAUCAUUUCCUCCAGGCUUUUUGGAGUAAACAGUUUUUUUUUCAGAGAAAAUGCAGUGUUUACAUUACAGCCUAGGGAUACCGCCAUUGGCCACUCAUCAGAAGGCUGGUAGAGGUGUUUCCUGGUGCUGUGCAGCACACUGUGCAGUACUGCCAUUCAGUGUCUCCACCCUCUGCAUGGAGACACUAAACUUUCCUCAUAGAGAUGCAUUGAUUCAAUGCAUCUCUAUGAGGAGAUGCUGAUUGGCCAGGGCUGUGUAUGACUGGCUCUGCCCUUGAUCUGCCUCUUUGACAGUCUCCACCAAUCCUUUGGGAAAGCAUUGUGAUUGGCUCAGAGAAUCACUUCUGAUAAUGUCAGCCAAGAAAGCAGAUCAGGGGAAUGGUAGCAGCAGCAGACUUAACUAAAAGUAAGAUAUGACUAUGUUUAGGGGGAAAGGGAGGAGCCAGGUGGGCUAGAUGGUGGUUUUAACAUUAUAGGGUCAGAAAUACAUGUUUGUGCUCCUGACCAUAAAAUGUUCCUUUAAUGGAAGUUGAAAAUAAAGAGACACCAAUAAGGCUUAAAUUCCUGAAAAAUGUGUGGAGUACUUACUUGAUUCGCUGUGAAGACAAAUUAAAAGCUGUUACAAAAUGCACGGUUCAAUUUCGACUUCAGAAAUGUGAAGUCUUAUUGUAAAGGUACUAUUUCUGCAGGACUCUCUAAUAAUGGCUCUGUCACCUCAAAUAUGCUUUCUUAUUCUUUUCUGAUCUAUUUAUCUUUAAAACAUAAGACAAAGUAGGGUCUACUUUGAUGAUUUUUCCUACACUUGACAAUCUUGACAAACGGUGGCACUCGUACUGCAAAACAUUUGUUUCAUUUUGUGGGAAAAGAUUUGAGCAUGCAAAAAAAAAAAUAAAAGAUUAAAAUAAAAUACAGCAUAUUAAUGAGGCUAAAAUCAAUCAACUGCGUGAAAGUUAUAUUUGUUUCCACAGUGUCAUUUUAUGGCAAGCUUCACCCUUUGUUAGCUUGACAAAGGAAGUGGAGUUUGCCUUAAACACCACUUUCAUCGAGAUUUGUCAGGCGUAGGAAAAAUACAUUAGACAAAGUCUGUCUUAUGUUUUAAAGAGAAAAAGAUGAGAAAUGUCAGAAAUUAACAGAUUCCAAAAGAGUAGAGGAAAUAAUAAAAGAAAGCUACGUUUGAGGUGACACGGUCACUUUAAAACCCCUUGGUGUAGCUUCAUGCCACUUGUUAGUGUGUAGCUCAAAAAGAUGCUCAUUCAGAAGUUUGUAUGUUUAUAUUGUUGUUAUCCCAAUGUGUUAACUAGCUUCAUAGUGUCACAGCCGAGAGUGUUUAAUUCCUUAUCUGAUUAUAUCACCAGGAUCCCUUUGUUUAUAUUUUUAUGCUGUGAGCAAUACUUACUUUCUCACGCUCUGGAUGUGAGCAGGUUUGUACUGUUACGGUGUUCUGUCAGUGUGAGACUAUGAGGGAACACCUAGAGAGAGAUGUAUUGAAUGGGAAUUUCUCAUGGACCCUCUUGUUGUCUUGCAUGAACAUUCACCACAUUCGCUAUAUCUUAGUUGGUAGCAUUAUAACCUGGAAUUAAAAUGCAUUUUAUUAGAAUUUAUACCUUUUGUUUUACACAAGAUAUACAGCACUUUGAAGGUUGAUUUAACUCAAAGUUAAUAAAAGAAAGCUUACAUUUAUACAUUGUAAAUGCAUUUAUCUGUGCUCCUAUGAAAACUCCGAAUAAGCCAUGGCCCAUCCAGAUGUAUUCAGAAGCCUCAUAAUUAAUGGAAUGUAAUUCACUCAGUGCAAGUAAUGUGUCUGAUCAUCUCAGAAUAAAAUUAUCUAUUUCUGUAAGCCCACAUAGUUUGUUAGAGAGAGUAUCAAACAGUAACCAACAGCAUCAUAAAGACUGAGAAGCUAUAAAACCUAAUUUGGGAUUCCAUUCUAGAGAAGCACCAAUCAGGUUUGAUUAAUAAAAAAAAAAUAUGCCAAACUUUGAACAUCAUCGUAGGCACUGUUAAAGCCAUAAUUAAAAAUAUAAAGGAAAUGGCACAAGAACUUGACUGCCUAAAGAACAUCAUCCACGAAAACUCAGUGAUUUGCUAAAAUCAGUAUUUAACAGAAAAGCAACCAUGAGGCCAGUACCAACUCUGAUAGAACUGGAGAGAUCAAGAGAUGAGAUGAAAAUAACUAGACCGCUAUAUCUCUGUCAGGUUAUACACUGAGCUGCUCAGUGUGAGUUAAAAAGGCAAUGUUUGUUCAACAAAAUACAAGGUACUAAUAGGGGCAAGGCAAAGACAUCAGUCCAGGCAGUACUGGGUCAUAUACGAGUAUACAAGCAGAAAGGUCAGGUAACAAAGCUACAAGCUUUAACACUGGUGUAGCAUCGAGGACAGCACAGUACAACUGAGCAAGGAGGACGGCCGACUGGCACAUACAUAGGGAGAAUGAGAGGCAUGUCCCCCCACAUCCCCCUAUGCCUUUAGAUAUGCCGAUAUUCUGCGUGUGCGCACAGCGUGUUGGACUGCAAGGAGGAUCGUCAGUUGCCCCCCACAGACGAGAGCCACAUUCGGGCCAGUUCACGUUGCUCUCGGUGCUCAGAAGACGCCUCAUGCAGCGGAGGGAGAGACGUGGUGAGGGAGUGCCAUAUAUGCAGUGGGAGCCUGACAAUCUGAGAUGUUCACAAAGCUGGACCUCAUAGACUUAUAACAAGAAGAAAACACUUUGUAAGACAAGUCAGAUCAAAUCACAUUUGGAGUUUUCCAAAAGGCAUGUGAAAAACAUGGCAAAACAUUGUAAACAGGUUUUCUACUCUGAACGUACUCGCCUUUGCUCAGAAUUCUAUUUGUGGGGCAAAGCCAACAGUAGUAAACUGGUCAUCACCCUCAAAACACUCUCCUCACUGUGACAAAAGGUGGGCGAAUCUUCAUGAUGUCAGAAUGAUUUUUAGUGCCAGGGACUGGGUAAACUAGUUUGGAUUGUGGGUAAAAUGGACAGUCAGAGAAAAGGCAAUUAGAGAGGACGGUCAUCUUCCAGCAGGGUAAUCACCCUUAGCACAUAGCAAAGUAAUUAACACUUUCAUAAUUUGCAGUGGCACAGUCGAAGUCCAGAUUUAAGUCAGAUUAUGAAUCUGUUUUUUUAAAAUACUGUUCACCAGCAGUCCCCAACCAGCCACAUAGAUCCUGAGCAUUUUAGUUGCAAAGUAUGGUCACAGCUCGCAAAGAUUUAUCCUAAAAUAUAGCUGUAAUUACUACCAAUAAUAAAAGGAUUCUAUAGUGCCAGGAAAACAAAGCCGUUUUCCUGGCACUAGAGGUUCCUACAGUGCCCACCUUCCACGGCGCUGAAGGGGUUAAAACCUCUUCAGUCACUUGCCUGAAUCCAUGUCCCUCAGCGCUUGGUUAGGUUCUGCCCACGCUCCUUCCCCACUGACGAAAUCAAUGCUUUCCUAUGGGGAUACCGGUGAUGCUGGAAGUCAUCAUGCAUAUUGUGAGGACGUCCAGCGUCAUUUAGAUGACCAAAAUUCGUCUAAGCACCUGGAAGUCCCUCUAGUGGCUGUAUGGAAGACAGGCACUAGAGGUGGAGUUAACCCUAGCAGGUAAUUAUUGCAGUUUCUCAGGGACUGCAAUAAUUACUACUGUUAGGUUAAGGGACAUGGGACAUUGCACCCAGACCUCUUCAAUGAGCUGAAGAGGUCUGGGUGCCUACAUUGUCCCUUUAACCCAGCGAGGGGAAUACUGUGCAACCAACAAAUGUCUGUUUUUUUUUCUGUUAUUUUUUUUUUUUUUUAUCAAUGACAAGAUUUAUCACGCCACUUUGUUAUGUAUGCUAUAAAACAGAGGGUUAAUAAUACACUAACAUCUAUUUUAAUUCCAGGUUGUAACUCUACAAAAUGUGAAAAUGUAUCCUUGGGGAUUUGUUCAAGACUUCCACUAGACACUGUAAAUCCUCGAUAGCUAAAGAUACUUAUUUUACAAAAUUAUUGCAAUGAUGUAAUUUUUAAGAUGUUAGUAGAAUUAAAACUGGACUUUGUGAAUUUUAAUCUGGCCACAAGACCGGGUUAUUCAUAAAGGUGUCAAUUAUCAGGAAAUCAUAUUGAAUUUGAAGUGAAUUUUAAAGGACCACUCUAGGCACCCAGACCACUUCAGCUUAAUGAAGUGGUCUGGGUGCCAGGUCCAGGUAGGGUUAACCCAUUUUUUCAUAAACAUAGCAGUUUCAGAGAAACUGCUAUGUUUAUGAAUGGGUUAAGCCUUCCCCCAUUCCCUCUAGUGGCUGUCUCAUUGACAGCCACUAGAGGCGCUUGCGUGCUUCUCACUGUGAUUUUCACAGUGAGAGCACGCCAGCGUCCAUAGGAAAGCAUUAUGAAUGCUUUCCUAUGUGACCGGCUGAAUGAGCGUGCAGCUCUUGCCGCGCGAGCGCAUUCAGCUCAGGAGGAGGAACGGAGGAGGAGAGCUCCCCACCCAGCGCUGGAAAAAGGUAAGAUUUAACCCUUUUCCCCCUUCCAGAGCCGGGCGGGAGGGGGACCCUGAGGGUGGGGGCACCCUCAGGGCACUAUAGUGCCAGGAAAACGAGUAUGUUUUCCUGGCACUAUAGUGGUCCUUUAAAUAUAAGGCCCAGGUAAAUGAGAGGGGAAAACAGCUAACUUGGAGAAUUUUUCCAGUUUGGCUAUUUCGCUCUUCAAUUUGAAAUUCACAUUUAUUCACUUUGAAUUCCCAACAGUUCACACUUUAGUUAGUAAACCUGGGAGGAUUAUUUCUUAGAAUGUUCAUCUAAUUAACUGAUAUCCCAGAUGAUUACUUAAAUUGCAUUCAUGCGUCUAGUUGCAGGUAUAGGGGGGUUAAUUCAUUAAAUCGUGAAAAGACAAGUUAAUUGCAAGUUUUAGUACAAAAUUGAAGAAUGAUCCAACGCAGCUCAGUUAUUUUGUCUAAAUAUUGCAGCUCUCAUGUCAAUUCUGCACAAUUCCUCACUUGUGAUUAAACUCCAUGGCAUUAUAAUGAACAUAUAAAUAAUUUCAGUGACUUUUUAUAAAAAUCAUAUUUUACCAUAAUUGUGUUUUUUCUUUUUUUGUUCAUGUUUCAGGCAUGGCGUACCCUGUUGAUAUAUUAGGUAGUUGCAGUCAUGAAGAACUGGAGAGCUUGUCAGAAGAAUAUCUCUCUGAUCUGCGAUGUUCUGAUCCCGACAAUCCAGAGUAUUUUUCUUUUCGGGACAAUACGGAG